RNAcentral lists this long non-coding RNA (243 nucleotides) under Capsella rubella. RNAcentral's name for it is "long non-coding RNA (CRUB_LNC004050)". The record is from RNAcentral. Lineage: Eukaryota; Viridiplantae; Streptophyta; Magnoliopsida; Brassicales; Brassicaceae.
ACUAAACAAAACAUCAAAUCUCUCAAUUAUUUUGUGUUGUCCAGAGUCCACACAAGUGAAUCAAAACUAUACUAUACACACAGGUGGAAAUGAGAGGGACCAUUGCUGCGAAUUGUUUCCGAACCACUCCUUUUUUUUUUUUUUUUUUUUUUUGCGUUUUUGGUUAAAGUAAACAAAUUUUGAGGCCCCAGAGAAAUUAUAGAACCACCUUUUUAUAUUAUAUUUUGGAAUUAUAGACCCAAG